Molecule: ribosomal RNA, 497 nt
Filed under: uncultured bacterium
Lineage: Bacteria
Description: partial 16S ribosomal RNA
Rfam family: Bacterial small subunit ribosomal RNA
Source: RNAcentral
GAUGAACGCUGGCGGAGUGCCUAAUACAUGCAAGUCGAGCGGACAGACGAGGAGGUUGCUCCUUUACCGUUGGCGGCGGGCGGGUGAGUCGCAAGUGGAUAACCUACCUAUACGACAGAGAUAAAUUAGAGAAACCGGAACUACUACCAGAGAAAUUAAUGAACAGAGUGGUGCAAUGAAGAAAGACGGUUUUGGUGUGCCUUAUAGAUGGAUCCGCGGCGCAUUAGCUAGUGGGUAAGGUAGCGGACUACCAAGGGAACGCUGCCUAGCCGACCUGAGAGGGUGAGCGGCCACACCUGAACUGAGGCACGGUCCCGAGUCCUACGGGAUGCAGCCGUAGCUAAUCUGCCGCAAUGGGCGGAAGCAUAACGGAGCAACGCCGCGUGAGUGAUGAAGGUCUUCGGAUCGUAAGACUCUGGUAUUAGGGUAGAACAAUUGUGUAAGUAACUAUGCACGUCUUGACGGUACCUAAUCAAGAAGCCACGGCUAACUACGUG